Molecule: ribosomal RNA, 1054 nt
Filed under: uncultured bacterium
Lineage: Bacteria
Description: bacterial SSU rRNA
Rfam family: Bacterial small subunit ribosomal RNA
Source: RNAcentral
ACGGGUGAGUAAUGCUUAUCUAACUUGCCAAUUAGUGGGGGAUAACCCUGGGAAACCAGAGCUAAUACCGCAUUUGUUGCUUCGGCAAUGAAAGGGAAUCGCAAGAUUCUCGCUAAUUGAUGGGGAUAAGUCGUAUUAGUUUGUUGGUGGGGUAAUGGCCUACCAAGACUAUGAUGCGUAGCCGGCCUGAGAGGGUGAUCGGCCACAAGGGAACUGAGACACGGUCCCUACUCCCACGGGAGUCAGAAGUGGGGAAUCUGUCGCAAUGGACGAAAGUCUGACGAAGUGAUACUACGUGGAGGACGAAGCAAUAGCGUAAACUCCUUUUGGGACAGGUUAAGCUGUCCAGAAUAAGCCACGACUAACUAUGUGCCAGCAGUCGCGGUAAGACAUAGGUGGCGAACGUUAUCCGGAAUCAUUGGGCGUAAAGGGUGCGUAGAUGGCAUGAUAAGUUAUUAGUGGGAAAUCGAGGCUCAACCUCGUGGAAGCUAGUAAUACUGUUUUGCUUGAGUGCAGAAGAGGUUAACGGAACUCCAUGUGGAGCGGUAAAAUGCGUAGAUAUAUGGAAGAACAUCAAUAACGGCGAAGGCAGUUAACUAUUCUGUUACUGACAUUGAGGCACGAAAGCGUGGGGAGCAAAACGGAUUAGAUACCCGUGUAGUCCACGCCCUAAACGAUGAGUACUAGAUAUUGGGAACUUGAUUCUCAGUGUCGCUAGGUAACCCGGUAAGUACUCCGCCUGGGUAGUACGCUCGCAAGAGUGAAACUCAAAGGAAUUGACGGGGACUCGCACAAGCAGUGGAGCAUGUGGUUUAAUCCGAUACAACGCGUAGAACCUUACCAAGGCUUGACAUGUUGGGCAAAGCUAGGGAAACCUAGUGGAGGUUAUCCUAACACAGGUGCUGCAUGGCCGUCGUCAGUUCGUGCCGUGAGGUGUAUGGUUAAGUCCUAUAACGAACGCAACCCUUGGGCUUAGUUACCAGCAUUCAGUUGGGGACUCUAAGCCGACUGCCCGAGUAAUCUGGGAGGAAGGAAAGGAUGACGUCUGGUCGUC